CAGCACUAAGUGGGUGGUAAACUCCAUCUAAAACUAAAUAUAACCAUGAGACCGAUAGCAAACAAGUACCGUGAGGGAAAGUUGAAAAGAACUCUGAAUAGAGAGUUAAAUAGUACGUGAAACUGCUUAGAGGUUAAGCCCGAUGAACCUGAAUAUCCGUUGUAGAAAAUUCAUCAUCAAUUCUUUAAUAUUUUUUUAAAAUAUUAUAUGAAUGGUGUGCACUUUUUCUACUUAAGGACAUUGUAAUCUGUUAAUGUUUGAAUGCGUAUUAUAAGAACAUUUACAAUAGUUUUUACAUUAUUUAACUUGUUGAAUAUGUUUAAAUGUAGAUGCUUCGAAUAUGCCAUUGACAGAUUUUUUAGUAUAUUGUACUUAAAUCUUUUGAUUUUAUAAUAAUAUAAUUAUCAUUGAUUUUUAUAUUUAUUAUAUGUACAUAUAUGAUUGACAAUGCGAAAGAUUCAGGAUACCUUCGGGACCC
This 478-nucleotide ribosomal RNA is filed under the name Megaselia elongata. RNAcentral describes it as "eukaryotic LSU rRNA". It matches the Rfam family "Eukaryotic large subunit ribosomal RNA", at positions 283 to 650 of the family's 3401-position model. The record is from RNAcentral. Lineage: Eukaryota; Metazoa; Arthropoda; Insecta; Diptera; Phoridae.